AACGCUAGCUACAGGCUUAACACAUGCAAGUCGAGGGGCAUCAGGAAGAAAGCUUGCUUUCUUUGCUGGCGACCGGCGCACGGGUGAGUAACACGUAUCCAACCUGCCCUUUACUCGGGGAUAGCCUUUCGAAAGAAAGAUUAAUACCCGAUAGCAUAAUGAUUCCGCAUGGUUUCAUUAUUAAAGGAUUCCGGUAAAGGAUGGGGAUGCGUUCCAUUAGGUUGUUGGUGAGGUAACGGCCCACCAAGCCUUCGAUGGAUAGGGGUUCUGAGAGGAAGGUCCCCCACAUUGGAACUGAGACACGGUCCAAACUCCUACGGGAGGCAGCAGUGAGGAAUAUUGGUCAAUGGGCGCUAGCCUGAACCAGCCAAGUAGCGUGAAGGAUGAAGGCUCUAUGGGUCGUAAACUUCUUUUAUAUAAGAAUAAAGUGCAGUAUGUAUACUGUUUUGUAUGUAUUAUAUGAAUAAGGAUCGGCUAACUCCGUGCCAGCAGCCGCGGUAAUACGGAGGAUCCGAGCGUUAUCCGGAUUUAUUGGGUUUAAAGGGAGCGUAGGUGGACUGGUAAGUCAGUUGUGAAAGUUUGCGGCUCAACCGUAAAAUUGCAGUUGAUACUGUCAGUCUUGAGUACAGUAGAGGUGGGCGGAAUUCGUGGUGUAGCGGUGAAAUGCUUAGAUAUCACGAAAAACUCCGAUUGCGAAGGCAGCUCACUGGACUGCAACUGACACUGAUGCUCGAAAGUGUGGGUAUCAAACAGGAUUAGAUACCCUGGUAGUCCACACAGUAAACGAUGAAUACUCGCUGUUUGCGAUAUACAGUAAGCGGCCAAGCGAAAGCAUUAAGUAUUCCACCUGGGGAGUACGCCGGCAACGGUGAAACUCAAAGGAAUUGACGGGGGCCCGCACAAGCGGAGGAACAUGUGGUUUAAUUCGAUGAUACGCGAGGAACCUUACCCGGGCUUAAAUUGCAGUGGAAUGAUGUGGAAACAUGUCAGUGAGCAAUCACCGCUGUGAAGGUGCUGCAUGGUUGUCGUCAGCUCGUGCCGUGAGGUGUCGGCUUAAGUGCCAUAACGAGCGCAACCCUUAUCUUUAGUUACUAACAGGUUAUGCUGAGGACUCUAGAGAGACUGCCGUCGUAAGAUGUGAGGAAGGUGGGGAUGACGUCAAAUCAGCACGGCCCUUACGUCCGGGGCUACACACGUGUUACAAUGGGGGGUACAGAAGGCAGCUAGCGGGUGACCGUAUGCUAAUCCCAAAAUCCUCUCUCAGUUCGGAUCGAAGUCUGCAACCCGACUUCGUGAAGCUGGAUUCGCUAGUAAUCGCGCAUCAGCCACGGCGCGGUGAAUACGUUCCCGGGCCUUGUACACACCGCCCGUCAAGCCAUGGGAGCCGGGGGUACCUGAAGUACGUAACCGCAAGGAUCGUCCUAGGGUAAAACUGGCGACA
RNAcentral lists this ribosomal RNA (1441 nucleotides) under uncultured organism. RNAcentral describes it as "SSU rRNA". It matches the Rfam family "Bacterial small subunit ribosomal RNA". The record is from RNAcentral.